AUUGAACGCUGGCGGCAGGCCUAACACAUGCAAGUCGAGCGGAUGAAGGUAGCUUGCUCCUGGAUUCAGCGGCGGACGGGUGAGUAAUGCCUAGGAAUCUGCCUGUGAGUGGGGGAUAACGUCCGGAAACGGGCGCUAAUACCGCAUACGUCCUGAGGGCGUAAUUGGGGUUUCUUCGUACCUCACGCUAUCAGAGGAGCCUAGGUCGGAUUAGCUAGUUGGUGGGGUAAAGGCCUACCAAGGCGACGUUCCGUAACUGGUCUGAGAGGAUGAUCAGUCAAACUGGAACUGAGACACGGUCCAGACUCCUCCGGGAGGAACAAGAGGGGAAUAUUGGACAAUGGGCGAAAGCCUGAUCCAGCCAUGCCGGGUGUGUGAAGAAGGUCUUCGGAUUUUAAAGCCUUUUAAGUUGGGAGGAAGGGCAGUAAGUUAAUACCUUGCUGUUUUGACGUUACCAAAAGAAUAAGCAACGGCUAACUUCGUG
RNAcentral lists this ribosomal RNA (484 nucleotides) under uncultured bacterium. RNAcentral's name for it is "partial 16S ribosomal RNA". It matches the Rfam family "Bacterial small subunit ribosomal RNA", at positions 30 to 507 of the family's 1533-position model. The record is from RNAcentral.